AAUAGAUACCCGGGUAGUCCACGCCGUAAACGAUGAGUGCUAAGUGUUAGGGGGUUUCCGCCCCUUAGUGCUGCAGCUAACGCAUUAAGCACUCCGCCUGGGGAGUACGGUCGCAAGACUGAAACUCAAAGGAAUUGACGGGGGCCCGCACAAGCGGUGGAGCAUGUGGUUUAAUUCGAAGCAACGCGAAGAACCUUACCAGGUCUUGACAUCCCAUUGACCGCUAUGGAGACAUAGUUUUCCCUUCGGGGACAGUGGUGACAGGUGGUGCAUGGUUGUCGUCAGCUCGUGUCGUGAGAUGUUGGGUUAAGUCCCGCAACGAGCGCAACCCUUGAUCUUAGUUGCCAUCAUUUAGUUGGGAACUCUAAGGUGACUGCCGGUGACAAACCGGAGGAAGGUGGGGAUGACGUCAAAUCAUCAUGCCCCUUAUGACCUGGGCUACACACGUGCUACAAUGGACGGUACAAACGGUUGCCAACCCGCGAGGGGAGCUAAUCCGAUAAAACCGUUCUCAGUUCGGAUUGUAGGCUGCAACUCGCCUACA
RNAcentral lists this ribosomal RNA (544 nucleotides) under uncultured bacterium. RNAcentral's name for it is "bacterial SSU rRNA". It matches the Rfam family "Bacterial small subunit ribosomal RNA", at positions 777 to 1320 of the family's 1533-position model. The record is from RNAcentral.